GAGUUGGCCGAACAGUCGCUGUAUCGCUUUGCGGUAUGGAGGAAAGUCCGGGCUCCACAGGGCAGAGUGCCAGGUAACGCCUGGGAGGCGUGAGCCUACGGAAAGUGCAGCAGAGAGUAGACCGCCUAAGCGCGCAAGCGCCGGUAAGGGUGAAAGGGUGCGGUAAGAGCGCACCGCGCGACUGGCAACAGUUCGUGGCAUGGUAAACCCCACUCGGAGCAAGACCAAAUAGGAAUCCUAUGGUGCGGCCCGCACUGGGUUCGGGUAGGUUGCUACAGGCAGUCAGUGAUGGCUGUCGCAGAGGAAUGACUGUUCUCGACAGAACCCGGCUUACAGGCCAGCUCC
This 345-nucleotide RNase P RNA is filed under the name Candidatus Pseudomonas excrementavium. RNAcentral describes it as "Bacterial RNase P class A". It matches the Rfam family "Bacterial RNase P class A". From Rfam's summary of the family: Ribonuclease P (RNase P) is a ubiquitous endoribonuclease, found in archaea, bacteria and eukarya as well as chloroplasts and mitochondria. Its best characterised activity is the generation of mature 5'-ends of tRNAs by cleaving the 5'-leader elements of precursor-tRNAs. Cellular RNase Ps are ribonucleoproteins. Lineage: Bacteria; Pseudomonadati; Pseudomonadota; Gammaproteobacteria; Pseudomonadales; Pseudomonadaceae. The record is from RNAcentral.